GACGAACGCUGGCGGCGCGCUUAACACAUGCAAGUCGAACGGAAAGGCCUGCUUUCCCUUGUGGAUUGCGGGUACUCGAGUGGCGAACGGGUGAGUAACACGUGAGUGAUCUGCCCCCAACUUGGGUAUAAGCCUGGGAAACUGGGUCUAAUUCCCGAUAGGACUGCAGGGUGGUGCCUGUGGUGGAAAACGAUUUUCUAGUGGUUGGGGAUGAGCUCGCGGCCUAUCAGCUUGUUGGUGGGGUAAUGGCCUACCAAGGCGGCGACGGGUAGCCGGCCUGAGAGGGUGGACGGCCACAUUGGGACUGAGAUACGGCCCAGACUCCUACGGGAGGCAGCAGUGGGGAAUAUUGCACAAUGGGCGGAAGCCUGAUGCAGCGACGCCGCGUGGGGGAUGACGGCCUUCGGGUUGUAAACUCCUUUCGACCGCGAGGAAGCCACCUGGUUGGAAGGGUGGUGACGGUAGUGGUAGAAGAAGCACCGGCUAACUAC
RNAcentral lists this ribosomal RNA (491 nucleotides) under uncultured bacterium. RNAcentral describes it as "partial 16S ribosomal RNA". It matches the Rfam family "Bacterial small subunit ribosomal RNA", at positions 28 to 504 of the family's 1533-position model. The record is from RNAcentral.